AGCCCGAGGGGUCAAGAUGAAGACACCAAAAUGCAAGUUUGGAGACGCGCCCAAUGGAGGUGCCAGGGCUU
RNAcentral lists this transfer RNA (71 nucleotides) under Gehyra barea. RNAcentral's name for it is "tRNA-Cys". The record is from RNAcentral. Lineage: Eukaryota; Metazoa; Chordata; Lepidosauria; Squamata; Gekkonidae.